UAACAAUUCUGCGGCACACACGACUUCUGUUCUGCUUUAGAACGGACAAAAUGCAGCGGCUUUUUACGCCGUUUGCGAGUUUUUACUUGAUCCCCCGAUACCACGGAGGGAAGGUAUUUGCGCGCAGGCAAGCGCCAGAGUUGAACUCGUUAGCACACGCCUCGGGUGCGUCUCCCCCAGCUGCAGCUCAGAUGACACUAAUCCACUUGGCCACACCUUUUUCAAGAGCCAGACUGCUGAUUCCAGAACAUCAUUUCCAACUUGCGUUGCUGCUUGCGCCUCGGCAUGCCGCUCGCGGGCGAUGGCUACGGAGGCUAGCGCGCUGGACGAGCUGCAGAGCGAGCUCACCUGCCCGGUGUGCCUGGAGCUGUUCCGCGAACCGGUGAUACUGGAGUGCGGGCACCACUUCUGCCGCCAGUGCAUCACCCAGUGCUGGAGCGCCAAGCCAGAGGAGAACCCGACGUGCCCGCAGUGUCGGAAGACAUGCGCCCAGAAACUCCGUCCCAACUCGCUCUUGUGCAACGUCGUCGACAGUGUCAGGCGAGCCAGGGCGAUGGACGCGGAGCCGACGGCGCCCCGGGAGAGGACCCAGCGGCCGCCGGUCAGCGGGGGAAGCUCGGAGCUCGCCCCGGAGCCCGACCAGUGCGAGGAGCACGAAGAGAAACUCAAGCUCUUCUGCGAGGACGACCAGGUGGCCAUCUGCCUGGUCUGCGGCAUGUCCAGGGACCACAAGACGCACAGCGUCAUCCCGAUCAACGAAGCUUUCGAGAACUACAAGGAGAGGCUCUCUGCUGCGCUGCAGAGGGUGGAGCUGCAGAUCGAGGAGGCCUCUUCCUCUCAGACUCUGACCAAUCAAAAGAUGAUGGAGAUAAAGGAGCAUGCUGGGACGCUGGAGGACCAGAUGGGGCGGGAGUUCGCACAGCUGCGGCUGUUCCUGCAGCGUGAGGAGGAGCAGGCCCGGGCAACCCUGCGCGGCCGCAAGGAGGAGAGGCUCCAGCAGCUGGAUGAGACGCUCACACACACCACCCAGCACAUCAGCACCCUGCACACCACUGCUCUACAGCUGCAGCACAAACUGGACCAGGACGACAACCCAGCCCAGCUGAGGGGAAUCAAGAACUUCAUCAGCGACGCAGAGACUCUGUUCCAGCGCCCCCUGGAGGUCUCCAUGGAUCUGCAGGCCGGCGAAUUCCUGGGGCCCCUGCAAUAUCGCCUCUGGAGGAAGAUGAGCUCCAUACUAAAUCCAGUGGCAGGUCCAGCCGCUGUGACCCUUGACCCCGACACGGCGUACCCUCGCCUGGUGGUGUCCCCGUGCGGCACGAGUGUGAGGGUGGGUGAGAUCCAGCGCAACCUGCCAGACAACCCGGAGCGCUUCACCCUCUACAACAUCGUGCUGGGCUCCCAGGCCUUCUCCUCUGGCCGGCACUACUGGGAGGUGGAGGUGGGUGAUAAGACGGCCUGGGGCCUGGGCGUGGCGGCGGCCUGGGUGAACAGGAAGGAGGAGGUCAGCCUGUGUCCGGAGGACGGCUUCUGGACGGUGGGGCUGCGGAGCGGGGGGGAGUAUGAGGCCUGCACCAGCGCGGGGAGUGCCCUGAGCCUGGGGAGCCGGCCGCGGCGCGUCGGCCUGUUCCUGGACCUCUCCGCCGGCCUGCUGUCCUUCUACGACUCCGCCGACAUGAGCCACAUCUUCACCUUCUCCCACAUCCCGCCCCAGCCCCUCUACCCCUACUUCAACCCCUGGCCCAUCAUCAGCGGGCAGAACACUGAGCCCCUCCGCGUGGUCGCCCCGCGGCCCUGACCCCCCAGGGGGCUGCGGCACAGAGGGGGGCUCUCCAUCGCCAGGGGGGGCUGUUGGACACAUCUCAAACUCAGCUCCUGUCUUGCCUACUGGUUUUUGGACUGGAGUUAAACCUGCACACACACCCUCCAGGACUGGAGUUAAACCUGCACACACACCCUCCAGGACUGGAGUUAAACCUGUAUACACACCGGCCCUCCAGGACUGGAGUUAAACCUGUAUACACUGCGGCCCUCCAGGACUGGAGUUAAACCUGCAGACACUGCGGCCCUCCAGGACUGGAGUUAAACCUGUAUACACUGCGGCCCUCCAGGACUGGAGUUAAACCUGCAGACACUGCGGCCCUCCAGGACUGGAGUUAAACCUGCAGACACUGUGGCCCUCCAGGACUGGAGUUAAACCUGCAGACACUGUGGCCCUCCAGGACUGGAGUUAAACCUGCAGACACUGCAGCCCUGCAGGACUGGAGUUAAACCUGCAGACACUGUGGCCCUGCAGGACUGGAGUUAAACCUGCAGACACUGUGGCCCUCCAGGACUGGAGUUAAACCUGCAGACACUGUGGCCCUCCAGGACUGGAGUUAAACCUGCAGACACUGCAGCCCUGCAGGACUGGAGUUAAACCUGCAGACACUGUGGCCCUCCAGGACUGGAGUUAAACCUGCAGACACUGUGGCCCUCCAGGACUGUAGUUAAACCUGCAGACUCUGCGGCCCUCCAGGACUGUAGUUAAACCUGCAGAUACUGUGGCCCUCCAGGACUGGAGUUAAACCUGCAGACACUAAAAAAGAAAUAAAUGCAAUAAGUCAAUAAAAAUGCAAUAUCCUCCUGAUACCCAGAAGAAAAAACUUAUUUUAACUUCUUGGAUAACAAAAAAUUAGUUUCAACAAUUAUGUUAGAAUUGUAUUUAUUUUUAUAAAAUGGUAGGCAUUUAUAAAGCACUGUACAAUUGAUGCUUCUCAUUCACCUAUUCAUGCACACACUCAAGGCGAUUGGCUGCCAUGCAAGGCACCAACCAGCUCGUAGGAGCAUUUUGGGGUUAGGUGUCUUGCUCAGGGACACUUUGACACGCCCCGGGCGGGGAUCGAACCGGCAACCCUUUUUUUUUUUUUUUUUAGAUACCUUACUGAUGUCAUCAUGCUGGAGUGGAGAAGGGCUGUUCCAUCACUGAGUCUCUUUUCAGCACGAAGCAGUCCGCAUGUUCUCUCCUUUGAAAACUGUGCUCAGUAUUAAAAAUGUUUGCCAUGAUCCAGCUGGGUUAGUAGCCUGAGAUUUAUGAGUGAUGAGUUAUGUUUGAAUGAAAAUGUAUCUUCUCCUAUUUGUAACUGACUAAGCUGAUCUCAAAUGGCCCUUUAUUGCUGGUGCUAUGGGUAGCCUGUAGCCUAGUGACUAAGGUACAUGACUGGGACAGCCUGUAGCCUAGUGGCUAAUUGUCAUUUCCUAACAAUUUUGAGUGAAUUUCUUAAAUGUAUCUGUGUACUAACCUGAAUCAUUACAUUGUAUUAAGUAUGUAAUUCUCUGUAUUAUAUUAUGGUCCGUUAUCAUUCCAAAACAGCUACAAAGCAAUGCUCCACCGGUACACAGUGCAGUACAUAUCAAUGUUAUAUCUCAAAGUGUGCAAUUUAAUAAUUUCAUUUAUCAGGGUGACAGGUGGGGACAGGAGGUGAUCUAGGGUCACCUCAGAUGUUUAUGGUAUGGAGUCCCAGUCAGGGUCCUGAUGACAUCAUCGGAACAAGAGAGAGAGGCUGAAGGCCUGCCCGUGGAGUGUAUAAAUAUGACAACAAUGUCACUUUGGCCUUAAUCAGGUCACUGUCUGUUUAUGUUUCAUCUCCAAUUUCAGGUUUCAUUUUGGCCCAAAUUCACCAGCAAUACACAUAAUUCCUCGUUAUACCUCUGUUAUAUUUGCCACUGGCUUCAUUAAAAACAGACUAAUUUUAA
RNA transcript from Conger conger (European conger), 3735 nucleotides. It is a transcript of the gene named nuclear factor 7, brain-like, with no coding region annotated. The record is from RefSeq and is a predicted model, not a curated record. NCBI's taxonomy places the organism in Eukaryota, Metazoa, Chordata, Actinopteri, Anguilliformes, Congridae. The transcript has 8 exons.